AAACGUGUGAGCGAGAUCUCGGUAUUGAUUAAGCGCUUGCAUCAUAGAUUUACAUUUGAGUGAGUGGCGAACUGGUGAGUAACACGUGGGAAACCUGCCCAGAAGCGGGGGAUAACACCUGGAAACAGAUGCUAAUACCGCAUAACAACUUGGACCGCAUGGUCCGAGUUUGAAAGAUGGCUUCGGCUAUCACUUUUGGAUGGUCCCGCGGCGUAUUAGCUAGAUGGUGAGGUAACGGCUCACCAUGGCAAUGAUACGUAGCCGACCUGAGAGGGUAAUCGGCCACAUUGGGACUGAGACACGGCCCAAACUCCUACGGGAGGCAGCAGUAGGGAAUCUUCCACAAUGGACGAAAGUCUGAUGGAGCAACGCCGCGUGAGUGAAGAAGGGUUUCGGCUCGUAAAACUCUGUUGUUAAAGAAGAACAUAUCUGAGAGUAACUGUUCAGGUAUUGACGGUAUUUAACCAGAAAGCCACGGCUAACUACGUGCCAGCAGCCGCGGUAAUACGUAGGUGGCAAGCGUUGUCCGGAUUUAUUGGGCGUAAAGCGAGCGCAGGCGGUUUUUUAAGUCUGAUGUGAAAGCCUUCGGCUCAACCGAAGAAGUGCAUCGGAAACUGGGAAACUUGAGUGCAGAAGAGGACAGUGGAACUCCAUGUGUAGCGGUGAAAUGCGUAGAUAUAUGGAAGAACACCAGUGGCGAAGGCGGCUGUCUGGUCUGUAACUGACGCUGAGGCUCGAAAGUAUGGGUAGCAAACAGGAUUAGAUACCCUGGUAGUCCAUACCGUAAACGAUGAAUGCUAAGUGUUGGAGGGUUUCCGCCCUUCAGUGCUGCAGCUAACGCAUUAAGCAUUCCGCCUGGGGAGUACGGCCGCAAGGCUGAAACUCAAAGGAAUUGACGGGGGCCCGCACAAGCGGUGGAGCAUGUGGUUUAAUUCGAAGCUACGCGAAGAACCUUACCAGGUCUUGACGUACUAUGCAAAUCUAAAAGAUUAGACGUUCCCUUCGGGGACAUGGAUACAGGUGGUGCAUGGUUGUCGUCAGCUCUUGUCGUGAGAUGUUGGGUUAAGUCCGGCAACGAGCGCAACCCUUAAUAUCAUUUGCCAGCAGUAAAGUAGGGCAAUUG
RNAcentral lists this ribosomal RNA (1123 nucleotides) under Lactiplantibacillus plantarum. RNAcentral's name for it is "bacterial SSU rRNA". It matches the Rfam family "Bacterial small subunit ribosomal RNA", at positions 51 to 1142 of the family's 1533-position model. The record is from RNAcentral. Lineage: Bacteria; Bacillati; Bacillota; Bacilli; Lactobacillales; Lactobacillaceae.